This 214-nucleotide long non-coding RNA is filed under the name Coturnix japonica (Japanese quail). RNAcentral describes it as "lncRNA (ENSCJPG00005021018.1)". The record is from RNAcentral. Lineage: Eukaryota; Metazoa; Chordata; Aves; Galliformes; Phasianidae.
CCUGGACUUUAUUUGGGAAGCUGAGAAUGGAAGAGAAACAAAAGAGUUUCUAAGGCCCUUUGGAAAUCAAGUAGAAGCCAAACUAAGGCUGUGUUGUUCCUCAAAGUAUAGCAUGGGAUCUCCUAAGGAGCUCCUUAUUUAAGGGCGGGAGGAAAACAAUUACCUCUAGAAAGUGCUGUUCUUACCACAUAAAAAGCGAAACAGCAUCUCAGCA